Molecule: long non-coding RNA, 732 nt
Filed under: Physcomitrium patens
Lineage: Eukaryota; Viridiplantae; Streptophyta; Bryopsida; Funariales; Funariaceae
Description: long non-coding RNA (PPAT_LNC005995)
Source: RNAcentral
AGUUCCUUCCUUGUGCUCUUCUCUAUCUUUCUCUCAACUGAUUUACUUUCCUCGAUGCAAUGUUCUCGUUCUUAUUAACCAUAAUCUUACUUCAAAUACUACUAAAACCAUCUUCCAUUGCCAAUUUUCUCACAUGUUUAAUAAUUAAUUCCUAAUACUCAAAGCUAUUAUCACUCCCCGAUAGCGGCGCCAAAAUGUGAUUGCUCAUUUUACUUAAUUCAAAUUAAUCUAAUGGGAAUAAACUCGUAUAGGGAGAUUCAAACACGGGGAAUGACUAGUUGCUUAAGCAUUCACGUUAGGGUCUCACAAUCAAUUACCUCUUGAAUGUAUCGUCUCUAUUUCCAAUAUCUGAACACACGAGGAAACUAUAAUCUCCUCCUUCACCUUAUCAGUCUCUUCCUUACAGCAAUUCAGUCAUACCAAUAACUGCUAUUUCUACCAAUAUAUUCGCCCUCAUAAUCUCCAACUGUAAUACUGUGCCCUCACAACUUUCAGCACACAAUUAUCUUCAUUUCAAUCAGUGAAAUUCUUCACACAGAACUGCCAUUCAUAUUACGGUGUUUCACACAAACACAUACUCAUUCUCUCUGUUGAACUACAAUCAAAUUUCAGCAUUCAAUCUUAAUUCUUCUCAAAUAAUACCAAUCACAUUUCCAUUCCAUAAUUCACUUCAUAAUAUUCAAAAACUCUCUAUCCUCUUAUUCAAAGAAAAUAACAAACAAAAGAAAAGAG